Non-coding RNA from Drosophila melanogaster (fruit fly), 425 nucleotides. The record is from Ensembl. Lineage: Eukaryota; Metazoa; Arthropoda; Insecta; Diptera; Drosophilidae.
UUUGCGUGAAAGCUGAGCCACGCUUACUGCACAUUUUAGUGUCAGCUUAAUGGCUUUGGGCCAUGGCUACUUCGGCGGCAACCUGAACCUGGGAAACUCUCGGCCAACUCACCUUUCUUCAGCAAACUGGAGGCAUGCGGAUUGCGGCUCUUUGUGCUCAGCGACGAACAGUUCCACCGAUGCCAUUGAAACUGUUGGGUGAAUGCAGGCAAAAUAGGGGAAUUUUAAUGGUAUUCGACUGCUAGCAACCGCAGUUGGCAAUAAAUACCCCGAAAAAGUGAACCCAACAAUUCGAAAACCGUAAUUAACCUUGAGUGGCUGGCACAAACCGCAGAAGAGACCCCAAAAACAAGACUAAACUAAUUAAAUUUCGUUUUGUUUUCGUUUCUCUAGAUGUGAAAUUAAAUUUGCCUUUUUUUAAGCUG